GAUGAACGCUGGCGGCGUGCCUAAUACAUGCAAGUCGAGCGAACAGACGAGGAGCUUGCUCCUUCGACGUUAGCGGCGGACGGGUGAGUAACACGUAGGUAACCUACCUAUAAGACUGGGAUAACUUCGGGAAACCGGAGCUAAUACCGGAUAAUAUUUCGAACCGCAUGGUUCGAUAGUGAAAGAUGGCUUUGCUAUCACUUAUAGAUGGACCUGCGCCGUAUUAGCUAGUUGGUAAGGUAACGGCUUACCAAGGCAACGAUACGUAGCCGACCUGAGAGGGUGAUCGGCGACACUGGAACUGAGACACGGUCCAGAGUACUACGGGAGGCAGCAGUAGGGAAUCUGCCGCAAUGGGCGAAAGCCUGACGGAGCAACGCCGCGUGAGUGAUGAAGGUCUUCGGAUCGUAAAACUCUGUUAUUAGGGAAGAACAAACGUGUAAGUAACUGUGCACGUCUUGACGGUACCUAAUCAGAAAGCCACGGCUAACUACGUG
RNAcentral lists this ribosomal RNA (497 nucleotides) under uncultured bacterium. RNAcentral describes it as "partial 16S ribosomal RNA". It matches the Rfam family "Bacterial small subunit ribosomal RNA", at positions 28 to 507 of the family's 1533-position model. The record is from RNAcentral.